UACGUAGGGGGCAAGCGUUGUCCGGAUUUAUUGGGCGUAAAGAGCGUGUAGGCGGCCUGGAAGGUCAGCUGUGAAAACUCGAGGCUCAACCUCGAGACGUCGGUUGAAACCACCUGGCUAGAGUCCGGAAGAGGAGAGUGGAAUUCCCGGUGUAGCGGUGAAAUGCGCAGAUAUCGGGAAGAACACCCGUGGCGAAGGCGGCUCUCUGGGCCGAUACUGACGCUGAGGAGCGAAAGCGUGGGGAUCAAACAGG
RNAcentral lists this ribosomal RNA (253 nucleotides) under uncultured bacterium. RNAcentral's name for it is "partial 16S ribosomal RNA". It matches the Rfam family "Bacterial small subunit ribosomal RNA", at positions 524 to 776 of the family's 1533-position model. The record is from RNAcentral.